GAUGAACGCUGGCGGCGUGCCUAAUACAUGCAAGUCGAGCGAACAGACGAGGAGCUUGCUCCUCUGACGUUAGCGGCGGACGGGUGAGUAACACGUGGAUAACCUACCUAUAAGACUGGGAUAACUUCGGGAAACCGGAGCUAAUACCGGAUAAUAUAUAGAACCGCAUGGUUCAAUAGUGAAAGACGGUUUUGCUGUCACUUAUAGAUGGAUCCGCGCCGCAUUAGCUAGUUGGUAAGGUAACGGCUUACCAAGGCGACGAUGCGUAGCCGACCUGAGAGGGUGAUCGGCCACACUGGAACUGAGACACGGUCCAGACUCCUACGGGAGGCAGCAGUAGGGAAUCUUCCGCAGUGGGCGAAAGCCUGACGGAGCAACGCCGCGUGAGUGAUGAAGGUCUUCGGAUCGUAAAACUCUGUUAUUAGGGAAGAACAAAUGUGUAAGUAACUAUGCACGUCUUGACGGUACCUAAUCAGAAAGCCACGGCUAACUACGU
This 496-nucleotide ribosomal RNA is filed under the name uncultured bacterium. RNAcentral's name for it is "partial 16S ribosomal RNA". It matches the Rfam family "Bacterial small subunit ribosomal RNA", at positions 28 to 506 of the family's 1533-position model. The record is from RNAcentral.